GUGCUCGUUUUGACAGCACAAAGACUAACAUCAGAAUGACCGGACACGAUCAAGCAUGGGCCCUGUUCAAGGAUGACACGCAAAUUUGUGAAGCGUCUCAUGUUUUC
Small nuclear RNA from Artibeus jamaicensis (Jamaican fruit-eating bat), 107 nucleotides. The record is from RefSeq and is a predicted model, not a curated record. NCBI's taxonomy places the organism in Eukaryota, Metazoa, Chordata, Mammalia, Chiroptera, Phyllostomidae.